CCCUCUGUAGCUCAGUGGUUAGAGCACUGGUCUUGUAAACCAGGCGUCGAGAGUUCGAGUCUUUCCAGAGGCU
Nematostella vectensis (starlet sea anemone) is the source of this 73-nucleotide non-coding RNA. The record is from Rfam. NCBI's taxonomy places the organism in Eukaryota, Metazoa, Cnidaria, Anthozoa, Actiniaria, Edwardsiidae.